CUAUUAUUUUGAUUUAAAUAUAUAUUAAGUAAUAUAGACUCAUUACUUUUUAAUAUAAUGUAAUGGACUUCUAAUUUUUUAGUAGCAUAAGCCCAUUAUUAUUUUUUCUAACUUACUGCUAUUCAUGUUUCCAAACAGUACUAUUUUUUAAACUACUAUCAAUAUUGCCAAACAAUCUCAAUGUGUACUUCAACUUUAAUAAUAUAGAUAUUAUGUAACAGACGACCCGUUCACUCUGUAGAAAUUAGGACUGUUCAAUAUGGUAAAACAGAACCGUACCAAACCGAACCGAACCGAAAUAAACAAUAUGGUUUGGUUUUGGUAUAUACCAUAUAAACCGAAUGGAUAUAAUUUUAUAAAAACCGUAGGAUUUGGAUAUGGUUUGGUAUAUAACCGAUUAAAUCGAAUAAACUGAACAAAACCAAUUAAAAGUAGAAACAUGUAAAUAUGUAUCUAUUUUAUAACAAUACAUAAAAAUCUAUUUAUUACAUAAGUCAAAUUUGUGUUAAUAACUAUAACCAUAAUUUUAUAGUAAAAAAGAACCCUAAUUUGUAAAAUACUUGAACUAUAAUUAAAUAACAAUACAUCGCAAUUCAAACAUCUUAUUUUCUAAGUCUUCUUUUGAUCUUUUUGCUUUAUUUUAGUCUUCACUAAAUUAAUAUGGAGAUUAUAAAUUUCAUGGACAAUAAUUAAUGGAAAAUUUCCACAACUUUUUUCUUAUCUGUAAACAAACAGAGUUUCGUAUUCAAUUGAAAGCAAGACUUUAAUUAACACUAAUAUGGAAGAGUGGAAAAACUUUUCUUUCAUUUUUCAGUUUUGUUUCAUAUUUUUAUUUUCAAAAAUUUCAAGCUUUGAUUUUAGUUAUAGAUUUUAUUAUUUUAUUUGAUGGUAGAAGCAUUUUUACUUUUUUGUUCAUUUAUUUGAACAUGUAAUAUAUUUUUAAUAAAUGAUUGUGUUGACAAUAUGACUCUAAAAUUCAUAUAAUAUGAUCUCAAACUAAAUAAUUAUGUUUUUUGGUAUAAAACCGAAUAAACCGAAAACCAACAGUAUAUAAACCGAACCAAACCGAAGUAAAUAUGGAUUUAGAAUGGUAGUUAUAUUUUACUAACCGAAAUACCGAAAACCAAAAAAAACCGAACCUAAACCGAACCGAUAUCCGGAUUGAACACCCCUAGUAGAAAUAGUCAGAAGAUAUUUCAAAUUCAGAUUAGACAGUGUGGUAUGCUUUCGGACAAGUCCACUAUAUAUCACUAAUUACAUUUCUUCUCAGAACCGACCGGAUCUGAUAGGGUUUACCGGAAAAAAAAAUUAUUGAUCUUAAACUUCACUAGGACUCCAUGAGGAACAAAUUACAGGAUCUACUGUAUAAUGUGGCAGCUGUCUAAUUUUGAAGGAAGUGGUCCUACCUAAUUUCUGUAAUUACUAUACGAUCCCGCACCAAAGAAAUACACACAAAUCCGUUCAGUUCUCCAACGUAACCUUCUUCGGUGAUCGUGAGUAUAUACCUUGCGUCAUCAAGAAUUUAGUCUGGCAGAUACCACUUUAAAUCUAUCAAAGCAUAACGCCACCAAGUGGAACCAAAAUCAUUGUAUACCAAACCAAAGCGAACCGAAGAUUUUACCUGAACCUAUUCAAUACUGAUAUAGAGGGCCAAUAGUCCUUCUAGGAGGGGAGAGUAAAUAUUUUUCAUCUGUCUCUUCUCGUUCCAAGCUGUGUACAAAGCAAUCACAAAAGAAAGAUGUCAAGGUGACAUUCCGAAGUAAAAGCAUCUUAGUUCCUCAUCUUCCACAUCUCUGAUGCCCGUGCGUGCGGUGAUAGCUUCACAACUUCAUUCUUAGUCAGAUACAUCAUUUAAAAAAACUAACUCUUAACAAAAUUAGAGGCAUGAUAGGAGGAUUCAGAUGUAGAUGAAGCAUAUCUUUAUAACCAAUCAGCCACUGACACGUAGAGAUAACAUUGGGCGGGAUCAAAACCUGUUCCCAACAGAAGUAACGGCCGUGUAUUUUUUAUAAGAAAUUAUUAUUAUUUAUUUUAGUAAUUUAAAAUAAUAAAUGAAUUUAAAAUAAUACGUUAUAAUUUGUAAAUUUUAAUCAAACAUUAAGGACACAUCUUGCAGCAAUAAUGAAUAAUUGAAUUCUGUCUUCUCAACAAAAUGACAAGUUUAUAUUAUAGAGGAAAGCUUUUAUCAAAUAUAAUUGAUAUUAUACAUUUUAUACGAAAAGUAAGUCUAUAAAAUUGCUAGAAGGAAUAAGUGUAUUUCUUAUUUAAGAAGACAAAUUCAUAUAUUUUUUAUCAUUCACAUAUUUUUUUUCACUCUUAUAGCUAAUUAAAUACUAAAUAUAAGAAAUCAAAGAUAGUUUCAUGUGUUAUAUAGUAUGGUCACAAAAUUAUGGUUGUUCAUGUAUGGUAUCAUAUAAAUUUAUUUAUUAGUAUAAUAUAUAUAAGUCAAUUAUUUUAGUUUAUAUGUACAUACGUAAUAGAUUAUGUUUGGUGAAGAUAUUUAUCAUUUUAUAAAAAUUGAAUAUUAUGAAAUAUAAUAACCAAUAUAUUAGUUGCAUAUAUCGUUAUAUAUAAUAACCAAUAUAUAUAUUGUUUUAGUUAAGUCGAUAAAAUACUUCUAUUUAAAAUUACAAAACAUAUUUCAUUCAUUCACCAAUUUUAGGUGUGUUGACUAUUUCUGGAUGAUUAGUUAACAUAUCAGCAAAAUUGGUUUUUAGUUCUUUACUAUUCACUUGGUAAUUAAAGAUAUUGACCGUUGACAAAAUAAAAAUUAAAGAUAUUGACCAAGAAACGCAUAUCAAUAUUUGGCAAGAUUAUAAUUAAAGACAUGAACUGCAGUGGCAUUACAUAUGGUUGUUGACCUCAGUUGGCUUUAGGCCUCGGCACCGGAGCGGUUAUCCGGAAAAUUCGCAGUAUCCGUGAUCCGUUUUAUCCCAGACGAAUAUUUACGUUUGUUAUUUGAUUUGAUCCAUAAAAUUAUGAAUAUCUGAAUUUUCAGAUAUCUGAUUUUUUUAAAAAAUAUUUAUAGAUUAUUCGAUUCGAUCCGCUAAUUAUAUUAAAAUAAAAAAUAAAAAUUAUAUAUAACAUUAAAAUUAAAUAAAAACAUGUAAAAAUAUCAAUUUAAAAUAAAAAUAAUAAUAGCAUACUAAUACAUUAACAUUUUAAUGGAAAUUGUAAAGCAAAAUCCAAUAUUAACAAGCCUAAUAAGAAAAUUCAUAUGCUAAAAUUUGAGUUAACAUAAAAUUAAAUUGAAUAUGCAAUAACUCAAAACAAUUUUUUUAAACAACUUAAAAUAAAAAAUUAACCAAAUUAUAUCAUAAAAUAUGUAUAGAUAUAAUAGUUUGCAUAUACAAUUACAUAAUAUAUUUUUAAAUAUACGGAUCGGACAUCCGGCUUUCCAAAAAAACAAUAUUUGUGAUUUGCUUUGUUUUGUACAUAUAUCACAUUUUGCUAUUUGCUCUGAUUCGAACCUUGACGGAUAUCCAGAAUAUCCAAAUCGAAUCGAAACGAAUAACAAAUCGGAUCAAAUUUCACGGAUAAUUUGCCCAGCUCUAGUUGGCUUAUAUAUACUGAAAAAAUGAAAAGUAACGUAGAUAUAUUUGAGAGAAAUUAAGGAGAAUUUAUAAAUGGCAUUUAAUCUAGUGUUAUGUCUAUUUGUUUAUCUGCUGUUUACUCAAGGUGCACAAGGAAGUAUUGAUGAUUUUGAUUGUGUUGAGAUAUACAAACAACCGGCUUUCCAACAUCCAUUGUUGAAAAAUCACAAGAUUCAGGAAAUAUUCAGUUCAUAUGAGGAUCUUGAAAGAAGCGACAAAUUACAUUCUAAUAAUAUAUUUAUUAUAUGACUAACAUAUUUUUUUAAACAGUUUGCAGUAAUUGAGACCAUGAUAGAUGGAACUAUCUAUCGAGGAGCUGAAGCUGAAAUAAGUAUUCAUUCUCUAAAUUUGCAAGAUAACCAAUAUAGUAAAAGUCAAAUCUGGUUAGAGAAUGGACCUCCAGGUCAACUCAAUAGUAUACACGCUGGUUGGGCGGUGCAUCCAAGAUUGUACGGUGACAGUGUCACACGAUUUACAAUAUAUUGGACAGGAGAUGGCUAUGGUAAAACUGGGUGCUACAACACACAAUGUCCUGGUUUUGUUGUUUUAAGUCGAAAUCACAGAAUUGGAAAUCAGUUCUCGGGAUCAUCUGUCUAUGGAAAAACAACCCGUUAUUUUACACUGCAAAUAUUUCAGGAUAUCUCUAGUGGAAACUGGGUACUUAAACUAGAUAAUGAAGUAAUUGGUUACUGGCCCAAAGAGCUGUUUACAGAGUUAAACGAAGGAGCUUCUCUAGUGAGAUAUGGAGGAAAUACAUUUAUGUCCACAGAUGAAAUGAGUCCUCCAAUGGGGAAUGGGCACUUUCCAGUAGCAGAAUUUUUAGAGACAGCAUAUUUUAAAAAUGUCUUGAUUAUAGACUCCAACUACAUAAGAGUUUAUAUUCAAUAUAGAAAACUAAGAUGUUAUGCUGAUGUCUAUUAUUGCUUUGAGGUUACAUAUUGGGGUUAUGGCAGAACUACUGGAGAUUCUUUCUCGUUUGGAGGACCAGGUGGCAAAUGUGGUGUUUGAUGAGUUCUAUGUAUAUGUACCAACCAAACUUUGUAAACUUCUUAAAAGAUAAAUAAUAAAGUCAUUCAAAAUA
This is an RNA transcript of Brassica rapa (field mustard), 4674 nucleotides long. RefSeq lists it as uncharacterized. Lineage: Eukaryota; Viridiplantae; Streptophyta; Magnoliopsida; Brassicales; Brassicaceae. The record is from RefSeq and is a predicted model, not a curated record.